AACGAACGCUGGCGGCAUGCCUAACGCAUGCAAGUCGAACGAGACCUUCGGGUCUAGUGGCGCACGGGUGCGUAACGCGUGGGAACCUGCCCUUAGGUUCGGAAUAACUCCCCGAAAGGGGUGCUAAUACCGGAUAAUGUCUUCGGACCAAAGAUUUAUCGCCUUUGGAUGGGCCCGCGUUGGAUUAGCUAGUUGGUAGGGUAAAAGCCUACCAAGGCGACGAUCCAUAGCUGGUCUGAGAGGAUGAUCAGCCACACUGGGACUGAGACACGGCCCAGACUCCUAUGGGAGGCAGCAGUGGGGAAUAUUGGACAGUGGGCGAAAGCCUGAUCCAGCAAUGCCGCGUGAGUGAUGAAGGCCUUAGGGUUGUAAAGCUCUUUUACCCGGGAUGAUAAUGACAGUACCGGGAGAAUAAGCUCCGGCUAACUCCGUG
RNAcentral lists this ribosomal RNA (433 nucleotides) under uncultured bacterium. RNAcentral's name for it is "partial 16S ribosomal RNA". It matches the Rfam family "Bacterial small subunit ribosomal RNA", at positions 29 to 507 of the family's 1533-position model. The record is from RNAcentral.